GAUGAACGCUGGCGGCGUGCCUAAUACAUGCAAGUCGAGCGAACAGACGAGGAGCUCGCUCCUCUGACGUUAGCGGCGGACGGGUGAGUAACACGUGGAUAACCUACCUAUAAGACUGGGAUAACUUCGGGAAACCGGAGCUAAUACCGGAUAAUAUAUUGAACCGCAUGGUUCAAUAGUGAAGGACGGUUUUGCUGUCACUUAUAGAUGGAUCCGCGCCGCAUUAGCUAGUUGGUAAGGUAACGGCUUACCAAGGAGACGAUGCGUAGCCGACCUGAGAGGGUGAUCGGCCACACUGGAACUGAGACACGGUCCAGACUCCUACGGGAGGCAGCAGUAGGGAAUCUUCCGCAAUGGGCGAAAGCCUGACGGAGCAACGCCGCGUGAGUGAUGAAGGUCUUCGGAUCGUAAAACUCUGUUAUUAGGGAAGAACAAAUGUGUAAGUAACUAUGCACGUCUUGACGGUACCUAAUCAGAAAGCCACGGCUAACUACGUG
This 497-nucleotide ribosomal RNA is filed under the name uncultured bacterium. RNAcentral's name for it is "partial 16S ribosomal RNA". It matches the Rfam family "Bacterial small subunit ribosomal RNA", at positions 28 to 507 of the family's 1533-position model. The record is from RNAcentral.